RNAcentral lists this ribosomal RNA (722 nucleotides) under marine bacterium SIMO-4433. Its description in RNAcentral is "bacterial SSU rRNA". It matches the Rfam family "Bacterial small subunit ribosomal RNA", at positions 70 to 785 of the family's 1533-position model. The record is from RNAcentral.
AGAGAGUAGCUUGCUACUUUGCUGACGAGCGGCGGACGGGUGAGUAAUGCUUGGGAAUAUGCCUUUUGGUGGGGGACAACAGUUGGAAACGACUGCUAAUACCGCAUAAUGUCUACGGACCAAAGUGGGGGACCUUCGGGCCUCACGCCAAAAGAUUAGCCCAAGUGGGAUUAGCUAGUUGGUUAGGUAAUGGCUUACCAAGGCAACGAUCCCUAGCUGGUUUGAGAGGAUGAUCAGCCACACUGGGACUGAGACACGGCCCAGACUCCUACGGGAGGCAGCAGUGGGGAAUAUUGCACAAUGGGCGCAAGCCUGAUGCAGCCAUGCCGCGUGUGUGAAGAAGGCCUUCGGGUUGUAAAGCACUUUCAGUAAGGAGGAAAGGGUAGUCUUUAAUAGAGGCUAUCUGUGACGUUACUUACAGAAGAAGCACCGGCUAACUCCGUGCCAGCAGCCGCGGUAAUACGGAGGGUGCGAGCGUUAAUCGGAAUUACUGGGCGUAAAGCGUACGCAGGCGGUUUGUUAAGCGAGAUGUGAAAGCCCCGGGCUCAACCUGGGAACUGCAUUUCGAACUGGCAAACUAGAGUGUGAUAGAGGGUGGUAGAAUUUCAGGUGUAGCGGUGAAAUGCGUAGAGAUCUGAAGGAAUACCGAUGGCGAAGGCAGCCACCUGGGUCAACACUGACGCUCAUGUACGAAAGCGUGGGGAGCAAACAGGAUUAGAUAC